UAGCGAUAUUAACAAAACAACUAUUGCUGCCAACGUAAUUUGUAUUUGAAACUAUUGUUGUGAAGUCAUGUUCUGCAACAGAAUACAUUGUGUGAACAUACACUCAAAUAUAUUACGCACUUAAUUUACAGUUAUCUAGAGCAAUGGAUCCAACACUCAUUGAAGAAAGUACUUCAAAGACUAUUCCAUACAACCUUGAAGUCCUUGUGAAAUCUCUGGAACAAUCUGAAGAAAGUAUUUCGUCUACAAACGCAAUUGAUUUAAUUGCUGCUUUGCUGUAUGUCUUAAUGAUGGAAACAGGAUAUUCGCCUCUUGGUACAGGAAGCAAUUCAAUUUCCAGCAGUGAUUAUGGGUUCAAUAUUCAUAAACUGAACUUUUUCUGCAGUAUGCCAGCCAAAUGGAAAAACAUCCAACAAAACAGUUAUGAGAUGUCGUUUAUCCUCGGGAGGUUCACUCAUUAUCCGUGCAGACUCCUUAUAAUACCAGUAGAUGAUGUUCUUAUAAUUAAUUUACUCAUUACAAACUUGAUCCAAGAAAGGAACAGAUAUACCAUGGGAAUUCAACCUUCAAAAUAUGUUGUCAAUCCAACAUCCACCUGUAUUCCAACAAAGUUCAGACAUUUGAAAGAUCUUUCCCUGAAGUUUAAAAACAUUUUGUCACAUCCUGCUCGAAGCGUCAUUUUGACAAAGGAAGGUAUACUGAAUGCCAGUCUCUUAGGUAUUCCAGAUGAAGUUAAGAUCAAAAUAUUUAAAUAUUUAAAAGUAUCAGACUUGUUAAAAGUAUCGUUAGUCUGUAAAUAUUUGUGUUGGGUGUCUGAAGAUCAAGGUCUAUGGAAGUAUUUCCUUGUAAGAGAUUUGAGAUAUGUAGAUGUGGCAGAUCUUAUAAAUCAACCAGGUGUGAGUAGUGUUACCUCUUGGAAGAAUAAGUACAAAAGCAAAUGUAGAUGGCGUUCUGCUAUACCUGUUCGGAUUUUCUGAGUGAUAUGUAAUUUUGUUCUACAGAACUAAUAGUCUCUUAACGUGCCCCCAGUUGGGCAGAAUGUAACAUCGUAUCAAUUCCAAAAAACUAGGAACAUAAAACUGAAAGGUACAAUGGGGUUAUUUAUAGGCAUAUCAACAAAGCUGCUACAAUGUUCAUUUGUCCAAGGUUGUAAGUUCUGAUGGACAUGUCGCUUAAUUAAUUGCAAGCUUCAUGAGUGAGGCUUCAGGUUCAGUUUACAUGUUUUGAGAUGGAUGAGAUCUUUGUGUUGUCAAUACAGAAAUCUGUGAUCCACAUGAAAAGACGUGGAAUGACAGGGUACACAAUGUGACAUGUGGAGAUUGCAGGGUUUUGAAGAAAGACCGUUGUAAUCUUCAGGACUCAGUAUCUGUCUGCAAGUCCACAUGGUAUCACACCUCACAACAAGAUCAAAAUCUUCACAGCUGUGAGAACGUCUAUUGCGGAGUCUACAUAAAUAAAGUGUAUUUAUAUAUUUUUAAUAUAUAUACACACAAAAAUGUGAUUAUAAAAUUUAGACAUGAACUUAAAGCUGAAGUACUAGUUUUUGUUAAAUUAUAUAUAAUAUGAAAUAUACAGUUGCAAACAUAUUCAUCUGUAAUUUUUGGAUUUAUGUAUGCCUGUACCCUGACACCGGCAGUAUACCAAAAUAUGUGUCUGAUUAAUAAAGAACAUGUGAGAUUAAACGGCAGUGGGAGUGAG
Molecule: long non-coding RNA, 1698 nt
Organism: Zootermopsis nevadensis
Lineage: Eukaryota; Metazoa; Arthropoda; Insecta; Blattodea; Termopsidae
Source: RefSeq, a predicted model, not a curated record